This 245-nucleotide ribosomal RNA is filed under the name uncultured Anoxybacillus sp. Its description in RNAcentral is "partial 16S ribosomal RNA". It matches the Rfam family "Bacterial small subunit ribosomal RNA", at positions 1137 to 1382 of the family's 1533-position model. Lineage: Bacteria; Bacillati; Bacillota; Bacilli; Caryophanales; Anoxybacillaceae. The record is from RNAcentral.
ACUCUAAGGUGACUGCCGGCUAAAAGUCGGAGGAAGUGGGGAUGACGUCAAAUCAUCAUGCCCUUAUGACCUGGGCUACACACGUGCUACAAUGGGCGGUACAAAGGGUCGCGAACCCGCGAGGGGGAGCCAAUCCCAAAAAGCCGACUCUCAGUUCGGAUUGCAGGCUGCAACUCGCCUGCAUGAAGCCGGAAUCGCUAGUAAUCGCGGAUCAGCAUGCCGCGGUGAAUACGUUCCCGGGCCUU